RNAcentral lists this ribosomal RNA (468 nucleotides) under uncultured bacterium. RNAcentral describes it as "partial 16S ribosomal RNA". It matches the Rfam family "Bacterial small subunit ribosomal RNA", at positions 28 to 507 of the family's 1533-position model. The record is from RNAcentral.
GACGAACGCUGGCGGCGUGCUUAACACAUGCAAGUCGAACGGUAAGGCCCUGCUCUUGUGGUGUGCUCGAGUGGUGAACGGGUGAGUAACACGCGUGUAUCCUGCGCCUGACAUCGGGAUAACUUCAUGGAACUGGGUCGAAUAUCGCGUAUGAGCUCGGGCUGCACGGGGGGGUUUGGAAAGUGGCGGCGUUGGGGGAAGGAAUGGUGGCUUAUCAUCGUGUUGGUGGGUGGGUGGGUUAAUAAGGCUUUGACGGGAAGCCGGCCUGAGAGGGUGACAGGCCACAUAGGGACAGAGAUGCGACCCAGACGCCUACGGGAGGCAGCAGUGGGGAAUAGUGCACGAUGGGCGGAAGCCUGAUGCAGCAACGCCGCAUGGUGGAUGACGGCCUUCGGGUUAUAACCCGCUUUCGCCUGUGACGAUGCGUGAGUGACGGUAAUGGGUAAAGAAGCACCGGCUAACUACGUG